AUCUCCCAUUAAACCAUAUAUAACUAAGUUACAGAUGGUACAAUUUAUUGUGUUGAUAAUACUUCUAAUGCAGUGUGUGAAUCCUAAUUGUGAGGCGCCACAUAUAAAUAAAGGAUCACCUAUCUUUAUUUUAAAUUUAAU
This is a long non-coding RNA of Wasmannia auropunctata (little fire ant), 141 nucleotides long. RefSeq lists it as uncharacterized. The record is from RefSeq and is a predicted model, not a curated record. Lineage: Eukaryota; Metazoa; Arthropoda; Insecta; Hymenoptera; Formicidae. The transcript has 2 exons.